UGCACAAAAUUAAAACGGGCAGCAAAUUUGAACCUAAGUGACAUGAAAUGGACCGAUAUCACCGGUCAGAAUCGAACCAGCGAUCUCAUCAGUAACAGUUAAGCAAGAAAUAACCCAAUCACUAAUCGCCAUCCACACCGUAUCGCCAUCCACUGUGACACACUCCACGACACUGCCAUAAUCCUUUGUCCCCUUUUUCAUUAGUGAGCCAGAAAUGUACUUGUUGGAUCUGCAUGAGAAAGGCACUUGUGGUCGACUGAUUUGUUUCGGUUCCUUGCUAUGCCUCAAGCACUUGGUUUAGACCAGUUUUAUUUUGUUGGACCAACCAGACCAGUCUUAAUACCAACACAUAGACCGUAUGAACAGGUUAUGGUUGGGCCAGCUGUUUUGGUUUUUAGUUCUUAACCAUAUUACCUUGAAAAGUAGGAGGCAACGACCAUAAGGUAAGAUGCUCAAACUGAACCGAAUCAAUUUUGAACUUUGGAAUUUGUUCAGCAAUAAUGGGCUUUGCAAUCUCCUU
Molecule: long non-coding RNA, 520 nt
Filed under: Helianthus annuus (common sunflower)
Lineage: Eukaryota; Viridiplantae; Streptophyta; Magnoliopsida; Asterales; Asteraceae
Description: sRNA HanXRQr2_Chr13g0577651
Source: RNAcentral